This 253-nucleotide ribosomal RNA is filed under the name uncultured bacterium. RNAcentral's name for it is "partial 16S ribosomal RNA". It matches the Rfam family "Bacterial small subunit ribosomal RNA", at positions 524 to 776 of the family's 1533-position model. The record is from RNAcentral.
UACAGAGGUGGCAAGCGUUGUUCGGAAUUACUGGGCGUAAAGGGCGCGUAGGUGGCCAACUAAGUCAGACGUGAAAUCCCCAGGCUUAACCUGGGAACUGCAUCUGAUACUGGAUGGCUUGAAUUCGGGAGAGGGAUGCAGAAUUCCAGGUGUAGCGGUGAAAUGCGUAGAUAUCUGGAGGAAUACCGGUGGCGAAGGCGGCAUCCUGGACCGAGAUUGACACUGAUGAGCGAAAGCCAGGGGAGCAAACGGG